RNAcentral lists this long non-coding RNA (2476 nucleotides) under Homo sapiens (human). RNAcentral describes it as "HSALNT0408491". Lineage: Eukaryota; Metazoa; Chordata; Mammalia; Primates; Hominidae. The record is from RNAcentral.
GGAAGACACUACGCCAAGCUGCUAACUCCCUGGCCAUUGCCGGACUCUUUCACCCCCAUGGACUUUCCACUGGCAUUUUAAACAACAUAGUUUCUUUUCUCUGUCUCUUUCUCUUUCUCUCUCUCUUUCUCUUUCUCUCUCUCUCUCUCUCUCUCUGUCAAUCUCAUAAUUUCUCUCUCUCGUGCCACGUUCCCACCCAACGCUCUCUCGCCCACUUCUACUGGGGCCCACUUCCUCUCCUGCUCUCUCUGUCUCAACGUGAUUGACUUUCUUGUGCUGCCCAGGACUUCUUGCCCACGUGCGCCUUCAAAACGGUAAGAGCUGCAACUGAACGUGUGAGACAUGGUGCAGAUAGGCUGAGAGGCGGCGGGAGAGAUGCCCAUGAACUCAAGUACCCGGACACGCCCUCCACUUCUACCACCACGAGUAACACCGCCCCCACGGGACCGCUCUUGAGGUCCCCCAAGCCAAGGUGAAGGCAAGUCCCAGUUGAAUCCAGCCCGGCCGGCCGCCCGGCCCGGCCACCUUCAGACGCCGCGCACCCGCCUUGUUGAGACUUGCCACCCUGUCUUGUUGUGUCCAUGUCCCCGAGGUUGUCUUGGAGGCGGGCCGUUCCCCGUGGUGCUCAUUUCUGCCUGGGGGCCUUCCGGGGACCCCGCUUGUCUUUGGGGGUGCGCAGGCCCUUGCCCUGCGAUCAGAGGCGCACCGACCGAUGAGUUCGGUGGCAAAGCUUGAGAAAUGGAGACUCUCUGGGCAUCGGCUAAGGGGGCCCGGGGCCUUCCCAGGCCUGCUGGAGUCCGGGAAGCCGGGGGCACCCAGAAGGAAGGACCCGUCGGACUCUGCCUGGGGACAGCCUGCUCCGCGCCAGAAGGGUCCGCUGCUCAGGCAGCAUCCCCGUGCCUCUCCUCCAGUGGGUCCCUCAGGUAGAAUCGGGGCAGGCCCCACUGGACGUGCAGGGAGGAGGCUCGGAGGAUGCAUCCUUUGCAGGACCCGGUCUGGUACAGCAGCAGACGGAGCCAUCUCCCGGGGCUUUCUGGCUUCUCCGAGGGUGUUCAGGAGUCUCCCAAGUGCGCAGGGGCUCGUGCCCAAAGGGUGGAGGUCGGCACCGCUUCGCUCAAUUCAGGAGUGGAGAAGGAAGCUAGAGGACCCUCUGGAGGUGGCAGGUUUAAUGUCCUGCUUUUUUAUUUAUUUAUUUAUUUAUUUAUUUAUUUAUUUAUUUAUUUUGUAAUCAACUGAAAGAAGGCAGAAGGAGUCGAUGGGCCUCUUAGGCCGGAAACCUUACAAGCAUAGGACCAAGGCAGAAAAGGUCCAGAGGGUUCAUGGUCCUCCGUUCCACCUGAAUCCAGCUAGAGAGCGAGCCAGGGGGAUAGGUGUGCCCCUCGUCGCCCGUGCGCUGAGGCACUGUCACGCAAAGAGACAUUCACCUUCCACGUCAACGCACCUUUAAGGGCGAGAGCGGUCCGCCGUGCCCAAGAGGAACGGGAUGACAUUCAACUGGGACUUGCCUCACCUUGGCUUGGGGGACCUCGAGAGCGGUCCCGUGGGGGCGGUGUUACUCGUGGUGGUAGAAGUGGAGGGCGUGUCCGGGUACUUGAGUUCAUGGGCAUCUCUCCCGCCGCCUCUCAGCCUAUCUGCACCAUGUCUCACACGUUCAGUUGCAGCUCUUACCGUUUUGAAGGCGCACGUGGGCAAGAAGUCCUGGGCAGCACAAGAAAGUCAAUCACGUUGAGACAGAGAGAGCAGGAGAGGAAGUGGGCCCCAGUAGAAGUGGGCGAGAGAGCGUUGGGUGGGAACGUGGCACGAGAGAGAGAAAUUAUGAGAUUGAGAGAGAGAGAGAGAGAGAGAGAGAGAGAGAGAAAGAGAAAGAGAGAGAGAAAGAGAAAGAGACAGAGAAAAGAAACUAUGUUGUUUAAAAUGCCAGCGGAAAGUCCAUGGGGGUGAAAGAGUCCGGCAAUGGCCAGGGAGUUAGCAGCUUGGCGUAGUGUCUUCCCACUGUUUUGUCUGUCUUGAGAAUAGCAUUCAACGCGACUGUGUUCCCGCAGCAGACGUUAGGCCGCUGCCCACGCCUUGAGUGCCGGACGAGGUCAACAUAGGCUUUCCGUCACAGAAUAUGUUUGGGCAGGAAGAUCGGAACACUUGGGGCUGGGCCAUCUACCGCUCCCCCACGGCACACACGAGUCGUCAGGGAAAUGCCCGCCUCUGUGUGUGUUGUACGUGCAGCCUUCUGGCAGAGCCGUGGAGAGUUGGACGUAGGCCAGGUGUGAGGAGGAGAGGUGUGUUUGGGGUGCCACUGGCUCCCUUCCUGCGUGACGUAGGCUGGCGUGGGCUCUUCACACCAGCCCCUUGCCGGUGCUGCCAACGUGAGAAGGGCCCGGGUGCCGGUCCCGCUAUUCCGGAAUUGUGGGUUCACCUGAAGUUUGAGGCCAAACCCCCAGCGGUCAGUGGGACGCCAGUCGCCUUUGACCUCUUGGUCAAG